RNAcentral lists this transfer RNA (76 nucleotides) under Quisquiliibacterium transsilvanicum. Its description in RNAcentral is "tRNA-Val". It matches the Rfam family "tRNA". From Rfam's summary of the family: Transfer RNA (tRNA) molecules are approximately 80 nucleotides in length. Their secondary structure includes four short double-helical elements and three loops (D, anti-codon, and T loops). The record is from RNAcentral. RNAcentral also lists the same sequence under 3 other names. Lineage: Bacteria; Pseudomonadati; Pseudomonadota; Betaproteobacteria; Burkholderiales; Burkholderiaceae.
GGGUGCUUAGCUCAGCCGGUAGAGCGGCGCCCUUACAAGGCGUAGGUCGGGAGUUCGAUCCUCUCAGCACCCACCA